RNAcentral lists this ribosomal RNA (547 nucleotides) under uncultured bacterium. RNAcentral's name for it is "bacterial SSU rRNA". It matches the Rfam family "Bacterial small subunit ribosomal RNA", at positions 355 to 896 of the family's 1533-position model. The record is from RNAcentral.
UGGGGAAUAUUACGCAAUGGGGGCAACCCUGACGCAGCCAUGCCGCGUGAAUGAAGAAGGCCUUCGGGUUGUAAAGUUCUUUCGGUAUUGAGGAAGGUUGAUGUGUUAAUAGCACAUCAAAUUGACGUUAAAUACAGAAGAAGCACCGGCUAACUCCGUGCCAGCAGCCGCGGUAAUACGGAGGGUGCGAGCGUUAAUCGGAAUAACUGGGCGUAAAGGGCACGCAGGCGGUUAUUUAAGUGAGGUGUGAAAGCCCCGGGCUUAACCUGGGAAUUGCAUUUCAGACUGGGUAACUAGAGUACUUUAGGGAGGGGUAGAAUUCCACGUGUAGCGGUGAAAUGCGUAGAGAUGUGGAGGAAUACCGAAGGCGAAGGCAGCCCCUUGGGAAUGUACUGACGCUCAUGUGCGAAAGCGUGGGGAGCAAACAGGAUUAGAUACCCUGGUAGUCCACGCUGUAAACGCUGUCGAUUUGGGGGUUGGGGUUUAACUCUGGCGCCCGUAGCUAACGUGAUAAAUCGACCGCCUGGGGAGUACGGCCGCAAGGUUA